AGAGUUUGAUCCUGGCUCAGGAUGAACGCUGGCGGCGUGCAUAAUACAUGCAAGUCGAACGCUUUGUCUUUAACUGAUAUGAAGAGCUUGCUCUGAUUUGAUUUUAUCUGACAAAGAGUGGCGAACGGGUGAGUAACACGUGGGUAACCUACCUCUUAGCAGGGGAUAACAUUUGGAAACAAGUGCUAAUACCGUAUAAUACCAACAACCGCAUGGUUGUUGGUUGAAAGAUGGUUCUGCUAUCACUAAGAGAUGGACCCGCGGUGCAUUAGCUAGUUGGUAAGGUAACGGCUUACCAAGGCAAUGAUGCAUAGCCGAGUUGAGAGACUGAUCGGCCACAAUGGGACUGAGACACGGCCCAUACUCCUACGGGAGGCAGCAGUAGGGAAUCUUCCACAAUGGGCGCAAGCCUGAUGGAGCAACGCCGCGUGUGUGAUGAAGGGUUUCGGCUCGUAAAACACUGUUAUAAGAGAAGAACGGCACUGAGAGUAACUGUUCAGUGUGUGACGGUAUCUUACCAGAAAGGAACGGCUAAAUACGUGCCAGCAGCCGCGGUAAUACGUAUGUUCCAAGCGUUAUCCGGAUUUAUUGGGCGUAAAGCGAGCGCAGACGGUUAUUUAAGUCUGAAGUGAAAGCCCUCAGCUCAACUGAGGAAUGGCUUUGGAAACUGGAUGACUUGAGUGCAGUAGAGGAAAGUGGGACUCCAUGUGUAGCGGUGAAAUGCGUAGAUAUAUGGAAGAACACCAGUGGCGAAGGCGGCUUUCUGGACUGUAACUGACGUUGAGGCUCGAAAGUGUGGGUAGCAAACAGGAUUAGAUACCCUGGUAGUCCACACCGUAAACGAUGA
RNAcentral lists this ribosomal RNA (847 nucleotides) under uncultured bacterium. RNAcentral's name for it is "bacterial SSU rRNA". It matches the Rfam family "Bacterial small subunit ribosomal RNA", at positions 8 to 812 of the family's 1533-position model. The record is from RNAcentral.